CGAGAGAGAGCUUGCUUUCUCGAGCGAGUGGCGAACGGGUGAGUAACGCGUGAGGAACCUGCCUCAAAGAGGGGGACAACAGUUGGAAACGACUGCUAAUACCGCAUAAGCCCACAGGUCGGCAUCGACCAGAGGGAAAAGGAGCAAUCCGCUUUGAGAUGGCCUCGCGUCCGAUUAGCUAGUUGGUGGGGUAACGGCCUACCAAGACUGCGAUCAGUAGCCGGACUGAGAGGUUGAACGGCCACAUUGGGACUGAGACACGGCCCAAACUCC
This 273-nucleotide ribosomal RNA is filed under the name uncultured Faecalibacterium sp. RNAcentral describes it as "partial 16S ribosomal RNA". It matches the Rfam family "Bacterial small subunit ribosomal RNA", at positions 69 to 339 of the family's 1533-position model. Lineage: Bacteria; Bacillati; Bacillota; Clostridia; Eubacteriales; Oscillospiraceae. The record is from RNAcentral.